GGAGAGGUGGCUGAGUGGUUGAAAGCGGCGGUCUUGAAAACCGUUAUGGGUCGUAAGGUCCAUCGAGAGUUCGAAUCUCUCCCUCUCCG
Molecule: transfer RNA, 89 nt
Filed under: Candidatus Omnitrophota bacterium
Lineage: Bacteria; Pseudomonadati; Candidatus Omnitrophota
Description: tRNA-Ser
Rfam family: tRNA
About the family: Transfer RNA (tRNA) molecules are approximately 80 nucleotides in length.
Source: RNAcentral